GUGUCAGCCGCCGCGGUAAUACGUAGGUGGCAAGCGUUGUCCGGAUUUAUUGGGCGUAAAGGGAGCGCAGGCGGUCUUUUAAGUCUGAAUGUGAAAGCCCUCAGCUUAACUGGGGAACUGCAGCUGAAACUAUUUUUCUUGAGUGCAGAAGAGGAGAGUGGAACUCCAUGUGUAGCGGUGGAAUGCGUAGAUAUAUAGAAGAACACCAGUGGCGAAGGCGGCUCUCUGGUCUGUAACUGACGCUGAGGUUCGAAAGCAUGGGUAGCGAGCAGGAUUAGAUACCCUGGUAGUCCAUGCCGUAAACGAUGAGUGCUAAGUGUUGGGAGGUUUCCGCCUCUCAGUGCUGCAGCUAACGCAUUAAGCACUCCGCCUGGGGAGUACGACCGCAAGGUUAAAACUUAAAUGAAUUGACGG
RNAcentral lists this ribosomal RNA (414 nucleotides) under uncultured bacterium. RNAcentral's name for it is "bacterial SSU rRNA". It matches the Rfam family "Bacterial small subunit ribosomal RNA", at positions 505 to 916 of the family's 1533-position model. The record is from RNAcentral.